AAACUUAAAGCAUUCACACCUUAUUCCCAAUAAUUUGGAGAAGAAGAUGGAAGACUUUGCUCAGGUAGCAGGUGUGGACGCUCUAGGAGUGAUUAAUUUAAUCAUCGCGGCAUCCAAAAAUGCAACUACCCAUAAAAGGAACUGUGAGCAGUUAGCUGAGCACGUGAGAAUGAUCGGCAAUCUAUUAGAGAAGCUAAAAUCGACGGACCUGAUGAAUCUGUCGGCGACAGCAGAGCCGCUGGAAGGAUUAGAGGAGGCUCUUGGAAAAGCUUUGGAGUUGGUGGACAGUUGCAGAGAAAAGAGCUACUUCUACAUGCUUGCCAUGGGGUGGAGCGUAGUUUAUCAGUUUCAACGGGUUCAGAGUGAGAUUGAUCGAUACCUGAACCUGGUUCCCUUGAUUUCCAUUGUCCACGACUUCCGAAUGCAGGACGUGCAUGAAAGCUUGGAAGCUGUUGAAGGUGAUUAUCAUUGUGAAUACACUCUAGACGAAGAGGAUAUUGAGGCCCACAGAGCAGUACUGAAACCUGAUCGAUCAAAGAAAGAUGCAAAUGUAUUAGAGAAGUCACUGUCUAGAAGAUAUCCUGAUUUGAGAUUCCAUGAGGCUCUCGAGGAGGAGAAGGAGAAAUUACAUCUUGAACUGCACCUCUCACAGGCAAACAAUGAUCCCAAGCAGUGCAGAAUCAUUGAACAUCUUAUUGAUGUGACUCAAAAUGUAGUUAAUGUGCCAGAUGAAAAGUUUCUUGCCCUCAGCGCGCAACCUUACAUAGGAACUGGGUUGGUAUCAGCUGCAAAAGUUGGUCAGGUGCAGAUGGUGAAUGUCUCGCAGGCUGAACAUCAAGAAAACUCAAAGUGGCAAACUGACCUCUUUGACUGUUGCAGUGAACCCUGUUUAUGUUUUAAAGCGUGCAUCUACCCAUGUGGCAUAUUUUCAAGAAUUGCUAGUUUGGUUUCGCAUGGGAAGAUAACUCGUGAACAUGCACUGAAUGAUCUGUUGACAUACUCCUUAUUCUGUGGUUGUUGCUGUUAUACUUGUUGUGUAAGAAGAAGCCUGAGAAAACUUUUCAAUAUUGAGAUAUUGCGGUGCAUAAGGCAUUCUAUGUUUACCAGAGUUACCUCGGUUUUAUUUGCCAUAACAAGAUGGUCAGUGCACCAGAACAGCAUGUCCAUUUUUGGGGCAUGAGGUAAUCCUAGAGAAAAAGAGAUGGUUGUGAGGUGACGAAUUGCUUCGGAGACGUGGAUUGAGCAACUACUAGAUUCAAUUGAGUAGGAACUGAUGUGUCUAGCCAUUGUUACCAUUUUGUAUGUUCAAGGCAUUUGCUUCAGAGUAGGGAGGUUCAUGUGAUGAUUUCUUAACUCAUCUGAUGUGUUGCUGUUGCGCUAUGAUCCAAGAGUGGCGUGAACUCGAACUGAGGGACUUUGAAG
This is an RNA transcript of Solanum pennellii, 1422 nucleotides long. It is a transcript of the gene named protein MID1-COMPLEMENTING ACTIVITY 1-like, with no coding region annotated. Lineage: Eukaryota; Viridiplantae; Streptophyta; Magnoliopsida; Solanales; Solanaceae. The transcript has 7 exons. The record is from RefSeq and is a predicted model, not a curated record.